GAUGAACGCUGGCGGCGUGCCUAAUACAUGCAAGUCGAGCGAACAGAUGAGGAGCUUGCUCCUCUGACGUUAGCGGCGGACGGGUGAGUAACACGUGGAUAAUCUACCUAUAAGACUGGGAUAACUUCGGGAAACCGGAGCUAAUACCGGAUAAUAUAUUGAACCGCAUGGUUCAAUAGUGAAAGACGGUUUUGCUGUCACUUAUAGAUGGAUCCGCGCCGCAUUAGCUAGUUGGUAAGGUAACGGCCUACCAAGGCAACGAUGCGUAGCCGACCUGAGAGGGUGAUCGGCCACACGGGAACUGAGACACGGUCCAGACUCCUACGGGAGGCAGCAGUAGGGAAUCUUCCGCAAUGGGCGAAAGCCUGACGGAGCAACGCCGCGUGAGUGAUGAAGGUCUUCGGAUCGUAAAACUCUGUUAUUAGGGAAGAACAAAUGUGUAAGUAACUAUGCACGUCUUGACGGUACCUAAUCAGAAAGCCACGGCUAACUACGUG
RNAcentral lists this ribosomal RNA (497 nucleotides) under uncultured bacterium. RNAcentral's name for it is "partial 16S ribosomal RNA". It matches the Rfam family "Bacterial small subunit ribosomal RNA", at positions 28 to 507 of the family's 1533-position model. The record is from RNAcentral.